GUCUGAUGAAUUAAACCUGAAUUUAUGAAAACUUGUACUCUCUCUCUAUAUAUACCUUAGUUAGCCUUUAAGGUUAUACCCUAUAUAUACCCUACCUUCUGGACUAAAUUCCACUUAAUCAGAAAAGCAUUUAACUCUUAUCUGGGCAACAGGCUUCCACUGAUUUCAAGUGUUGAACUGUCUUUCCCUUGAUUUCAAGGGUAAGAAACAUACCUAUCAUGGAGAAGGACACUGAGCUACCUUGCAGAAAAAAUCUGCAGAUUAUUACCAUCUCCUCUGUGUGGGGGACGGUACAGGGGUGGUAGAGAUUGGAGAUUGUUGUAUCUUCAUUUAAUUGAAUUGAGCUAUAACCCAACAGAAUCAAGAAUCCUAACCACAGAUUUUAUAUGUAUGCAAUAUUGAUAAGAUUUUUGUUUUUUACUACUGAAGUGAUCCUUCCCCAUCUCCCUGUAUGUGGAAACUGGGAUUUCUAGAAAGUGAUUCCUGAGUUUGAGUGUCUCCAUUUCUAGGUUUUGGAUGCUUCCAAGGGGCUACUUUUUGCUUCAGGAAAUGGUUGUUCAACCCUUCCUGAGAAACAGGCCCUUUAAGACCGGCCCAUUUCCGUAAACUGGCUUUUUUGUAGAUCUUGUCCUGAGCAACCUUUCAUCUCAAGUUCAACCACCUUUACAGUGGACAGUUGCAACAAUUGCAAUUUGAGGAUUAACACAAGGGCUAGUUUGCAGAAAUGCUCUGUGGUUUCUUAUUUCUGUCAAUUAGCACAUCAUAGUUUUAUGAACCCUGAGGGCUCUGCAGAUAAUUUUGUUUACAAAUUAAGUGUUUCCUAUUAGAUAGUAAUGAUACCCGACAGUGAGAUGGAAGAACUGAAAUUGGAAGCAAAAUGCUGGCCAGAGGAAGACACACAAAUACAAAGCACAUCAACAAUAAACAGGUGUUCCAAAGAAAUACACUGCCAAGCAAAAUAUGGCUUUGCAUUUUUGCAGAUAAUUCUGGUCUUUGAAAAUGCUUGAGCUAAUGUAUAAUUGACUGCUUCAGAACAAAAGAAUGCCAGACUGUAGGACCACAGACUGCCCACAUCAGAGUUGAGCUACAAAGGAAG
This is a long non-coding RNA of Gavialis gangeticus (Gharial), 1096 nucleotides long. RefSeq lists it as uncharacterized. The transcript is spliced from 2 exons. The record is from RefSeq and is a predicted model, not a curated record. Lineage: Eukaryota; Metazoa; Chordata; Crocodylia; Gavialidae.